RNAcentral lists this ribosomal RNA (462 nucleotides) under uncultured Leptolyngbya sp. RNAcentral's name for it is "bacterial SSU rRNA". It matches the Rfam family "Bacterial small subunit ribosomal RNA", at positions 20 to 524 of the family's 1533-position model. Lineage: Bacteria; Bacillati; Cyanobacteriota; Cyanophyceae; Leptolyngbyales; Leptolyngbyaceae. The record is from RNAcentral.
UGGCUCAGGAUGAACGCUGGCGGUCUGCUUAACACAUGCAAGUCGAACGGAGGUCUUCGGACCUUAGUGGCGGACGGGUGAGUAACGCGUGAGAAUCUGGCCUCAGGACGGGGACAACGACUGGAAACGGUCGCUAAUACCCGAUGUGCCGAGAGGUGAAAGGAUUAAUUGCCUGAGGAUGAGCUCGCGUCUGAUUAGCUAGUUGGGGGGUAAUGGCCCACCAAGGCGACGAUCAGUAGCUGGUCUGAGAGGAUGAUCAGCCACACUGGGACUGAGACACGGCCCAGACUCCUACGGGAGGCAGCAGUGGGGAAUUUUCCGCAAUGGGCGAAAGCCUGACGGAGCAAGACCGCGUGAGGGAAGACGGCCUACUGGUUGUAAACCUCUUUUGAUAGGGAAGAACACAAUGACGGUACCUAUCGAAUCAGCCUCGGCUAACUCCGUGCCAGCCGCCGCGGUAAU